CAUGGUGCUUUUAUCAAUCUGAUUUAUUUCGUACCUUUCGUUCAAUGAGAAAAUGGGUCAAAUUCUACAGGAUCAAACCUAUGGGACUUAAGGAAUGAUAUAAAAAUGGUGCUUUUAUCAAUCUGAUUUAUUUCGUACCUUUCGUUCAAUGAGAAAAUGGGUCAAAUUCUACAGGAUCAAACCUACGAGACUUAAGGAAUGAUAUAAAAAAAAGAGAAAGAAAAUAUUCAUAUUAAAUAAAUAUGAAGUAGAAGAACCCAGAUUCCAAAUGAACAAAUUCAAACUUGAAAAGGAUCUUCCUUAUUCUUGAAGAAUGAGGGGUAAAGGGAUUGAUCAAGAAAGAUCUUUUGUUCUUCUUAUAUAUAAGA
This 368-nucleotide long non-coding RNA is filed under the name Nicotiana benthamiana. Its description in RNAcentral is "long non-coding RNA (NBEN_LNC018524)". Lineage: Eukaryota; Viridiplantae; Streptophyta; Magnoliopsida; Solanales; Solanaceae. The record is from RNAcentral.